CCUACGGGUGGCAGCAGUGAGGAAUAUUGGUCAAUGGUCGGGAGACUGAACCAGCCAAGCCGCGUGAGGGAGGAAGGUACAGAGUAUCGUAAACCUCUUUUGUCAGGGAACAAAGACUGGGACGCGUCCCCGGAUGAGUGUACCUGAAGAAAAAGCAUCGGCUAACUCCGUGCCAGCAGCCGCGGUAAUACGGAGGAUGCGAGCGUUAUCCGGAUUUAUUGGGUUAAAAGGGUGCGCAGGCGGUCUGGUAAGUCAGCGGGCAAAGCCCGGGGCUCAACCCCGGCCCGCCGUUGAAACUGGCAGUCUCGAGUUGGAGAGAAGUAUGCGGAAUGCGCGGUGUAGCGGUGAAAUGCAUAGAUAUCGCGCAGAACUCCGAUUGCGAAGGCAGCAUGCCGGCUCCACACUGACGCUGAGGCACGAAAGCGUGGGUAUCGAACAGGAUUAGAUACCCGAGUAGUC
Molecule: ribosomal RNA, 459 nt
Filed under: uncultured bacterium
Lineage: Bacteria
Description: partial 16S ribosomal RNA
Rfam family: Bacterial small subunit ribosomal RNA
Source: RNAcentral